GCUCAGCCAUAAACAAAGACACAAAUUCCGCACAGAAAACUACGAGCGACAAGCUUAAAACUCAAAGGACCUGACGGUGUCCCACACCAACCUAGAGGAGCCUGUCCCAUAAUCGAUAAUCCGCGAUAAACCUCACCGCCCCUGGCCCACCCAGUCUAUAUACCGCCGUCGCCAGCCUAUCUCACAAGAGUCAAUGGCCAAACAGCAGCACAGCACUGCUAAUACGACAGGUCAAGGCGUAACUCAUGGGGCGGAGAAGAUUGGCUACAAUGCCUACCUACAAGGCUAAACGAAACAUACCAUGAAACUGGGAUAAGAAGACGAAUUUAGCAGUAAGAAAGGAAAAGAAGAACCUGUCUGAAAUCAGUCCUGGGACG
RNAcentral lists this ribosomal RNA (377 nucleotides) under Uromastyx aegyptia. Its description in RNAcentral is "partial 12S rRNA". It matches the Rfam family "Bacterial small subunit ribosomal RNA", at positions 875 to 1381 of the family's 1533-position model. Lineage: Eukaryota; Metazoa; Chordata; Lepidosauria; Squamata; Agamidae. The record is from RNAcentral.